RNAcentral lists this transfer RNA (92 nucleotides) under Patescibacteria group bacterium. RNAcentral's name for it is "tRNA-Ser". It matches the Rfam family "tRNA". Rfam says of the family: Transfer RNA (tRNA) molecules are approximately 80 nucleotides in length. Their secondary structure includes four short double-helical elements and three loops (D, anti-codon, and T loops). The record is from RNAcentral.
GGAGAGGUGACUGAGCGGCCGAAAGUGCGCGAUUGGAAAUCGCGUGGAGGGUAAAAGCCUUCCCGAGGGUUCGAAUCCCUCCCUCUCCGCCA